GACGAACGCUGGCGGCGUGCUUAACACAUGCAAGUCGAGCGGUAAGGCCCUUCGGGGUACACGAGCGGCGAACGGGUGAGUAACACGUGGGUGACCUGCCUCUAGCUCUGGGAUAAGCCUGGGAAACUGGGUCUAAUACCGGAUAUGACUCCACGGCGCAUGUUGUGGGGUGGAAAGCCUUGUGUGGCUAGAGAUGGGCCCGCGGCCUAUCAGCUUGUGGUGGGGUGAUGGCCUACCAGGGCGACGACGGGUAGCCGGCCUGAGAGGCGACCGGCCACACUGGGACUGAGACACGGCCCAGACUCCUACGGGAGGCAGCAGUGGGGAAUCUUGCGCAAUGGGCGAAAGCCUGACGCAGCGACGCCGCGUGAGGGAUGACGGCCUCGGUU
RNAcentral lists this ribosomal RNA (389 nucleotides) under uncultured bacterium. RNAcentral describes it as "bacterial SSU rRNA". It matches the Rfam family "Bacterial small subunit ribosomal RNA", at positions 28 to 424 of the family's 1533-position model. The record is from RNAcentral.